UGAGCCGAAAUCCUGUCACCUUAGGUCGAUCGGUACCUCAACAUUUUUUUCAAAGAUUGAUGAGCAAUCAUCGAGAGAUUGAAAGAGAUGUUCAGUUCCUAAACUUUGUCUAGGUCACACCCCGCAAGGGAAGAGUCCCCUGGGCCAUUAGCUCAGGUGGUUAGAGCGCACCCCUGAUAAGGGUGAGGUCCCUGGUUCAAGUCCAGGAUGGCCCAUUCGGUGUUGGGGGUUUAGCUCAGUUGGUAGAGCGCCUGCUUUGCAAGCAGGAUGUCAGGAGUUCGAGUCUCCUAACCUCCACUGACCGAACUCAAUCUCCAUUGUCCGGUAACUCGGAGGAUGAACUCGAGUGAGUGUGAUUUAGAUGUGUCCACUAGAUUGGACCCCAGCUUCCUGUCAUUCCAAACAAGUAAAUAUUACUUGAAUGGUUGAUAAGAUGCUGGGCUCAGAUUAAUCGAAAGAUUAAUUUGAUGUCUAGUAGAACCUUGACAACUGCAUAGGUAAGUCUGGAAAAACAAAGCAUCUUACAGAUGCAUUGUUUUAAGCCUGAAUUCUCGAAAGGGAAUUUAGAAUUAGAACAAUGAAAAUUCUUUUGAGCAAGAGCCGAGACUCUUAAAUGUUCUUUGA
RNAcentral lists this transfer RNA (624 nucleotides) under uncultured Synechococcus sp. RNAcentral's name for it is "partial may contain 16S ribosomal RNA, 16S-23S ribosomal RNA intergenic spacer, and 23S ribosomal RNA". The stretch from base 225 to 297 matches the Rfam family "tRNA". Lineage: Bacteria; Bacillati; Cyanobacteriota; Cyanophyceae; Synechococcales; Synechococcaceae. The record is from RNAcentral.